Non-coding RNA from Protomyces lactucae-debilis, 73 nucleotides. Lineage: Eukaryota; Fungi; Ascomycota; Taphrinomycetes; Taphrinales; Protomycetaceae. The record is from the annotation of a RefSeq genome assembly.
GCCGGGAUGGUGUAGCGGUUAUCACGACUGCUUAACACGCAGUAGGUCCCGGGUUCGAGACCCGGUCCUGGUA